AAAGAAGAGAAAAAAAACCAAAGA
Molecule: small RNA, 24 nt
Filed under: Arabidopsis thaliana (thale cress)
Lineage: Eukaryota; Viridiplantae; Streptophyta; Magnoliopsida; Brassicales; Brassicaceae
Description: ATSL129990
Source: RNAcentral